GAUGAACGCUGGCGGCGUGCCUAAUACAUGCAAGUCGAGCGAACGGACGAGAAGCUUGCUUCUCUGAUGUUAGCGGCGGACGGGUGAGUAACACGUGGAUAACCUACCUAUAAGACUGGGAUAACUUCGGGAAACCGGAGCUAAUCCCGGAUAAUAUUUUGAACCGUAUGGUUCAAAAGUAAAAGACGGUCUUGCUGUCACUUAUAGAUGGAUCUGCGCUGCAUUAGCUAGUUGGUAAGUUAACGGCUUACCAAGGCAACUAUGCAUAGCCGACCUGAGGGGGGGGUCGGCCACACUAGAGCGGGGACACGGACCAGGCUCCUGAGAGAGGCAGCAGAAGGGAAUCUUACGCAGUAGGCGGAAGCCUGACGGAACAACGCCACGUGAGUGGUGGAGGUCUUCGGAUCGUAAAACUCUGUUAUUAGGGAAGAACAUAUGUGUAAGUAACUGUGCACAGCUUGACGGUACCUAGUCAAAAAGCCACGGCUAACUACGUG
This 497-nucleotide ribosomal RNA is filed under the name uncultured bacterium. Its description in RNAcentral is "partial 16S ribosomal RNA". It matches the Rfam family "Bacterial small subunit ribosomal RNA", at positions 28 to 507 of the family's 1533-position model. The record is from RNAcentral.